RNAcentral lists this long non-coding RNA (448 nucleotides) under Phaseolus vulgaris (common bean). RNAcentral describes it as "long non-coding RNA (PVUL_LNC000820)". Lineage: Eukaryota; Viridiplantae; Streptophyta; Magnoliopsida; Fabales; Fabaceae. The record is from RNAcentral.
CUUGAUAAUAAUCAUUUACUCUAAUGCUUCCCUCCCCAAAAGAAUCAUGAUCUUUAGAGAUAUAUGCAUGAGAAGGUAAUUUUUUUAGAAUGUGAGACUUCUCAUCCUUUGCUUUAGUCAAAACAUUAAGUUUAGUCUCACUCUCCAAUUGUCUAUAAGCAAUUGAUUGCACAGUUUGUGAAACUUCUUUCAAAAGAGUUUUUAAAGAUUUUAAUUCACUUCCAAUAGACUUUGUAGAAUGAGAAGAAGAAGACAUGGCUAAAGCUUUGUGUAUACAAGUAUUUUACCUUGAGAAAACUUAGGAAAGUCAAAGAAGGUAGUUUUCCAGGUAAGGGAGGUGAGUCACAAAGAACUACUUAAAUACCAAGCCUUUGCCUUAGCCAAAAACUAUCCCUCAAUGUCUUCACACAAAACUUUCUCUUAGUAAACCACUUAGAACACAAUUAAG